Molecule: RNA transcript, 4354 nt
Organism: Panicum virgatum (switchgrass)
Lineage: Eukaryota; Viridiplantae; Streptophyta; Magnoliopsida; Poales; Poaceae
Gene name: SAC3 family protein A-like
Exons: 14
Source: RefSeq, a predicted model, not a curated record
CUCCUUCAUUCCUCCGACAGAAGGAGACGCUUCGCCUCCUCCUCUCAAUUUCCUUCCCCAUUGCGUCUCUAGACCUAAUCUCCAGCCGCCGAGCGCCCGAUGCUCCCGCCGAGGCCCUGUUAGCCAAGUCAAACAUCGCUGCUAGUGCUAGGCUAUGGUGCUUCAGCCGCUCUUCAUCUGACGAGGGCAGGAACUUGGAGCUGCUGGCCAUCAUUCUUGGUCUUCUUCAACUGGGACUUCCUUGAACUAUUUGAUGGAUAGUAUAAACCAAAAUGCACUUUACUAUGACCCCCAGAGGGAUGUAUCAGUUUCAGGAGCUACUCAAAGUGUGACAAACUGCGAGCCUCAUGUGGUUCAAUCCGCUAACUCUUAUGUUCCUCGCUCAACAUCGGUUCAACAUGACUACAAUGCUGCCCAAUAUCCAAACUACUACUAUAACUAUCUACAAGCAGAAAAUGAUUCCUCUGUUCAUCAAGGAGUAGGUCAACUUCCAGGUGCUGCUUACCAGUCUCUAACUUCGUUUCAGAAUUCAGGAUCUUAUGUUGGUCCUACAAGUAACACAUAUUAUAAUUCUGGUACUCAUCAGACUGCACCAGGAUAUGCAACAAGUAACUAUUAUUAUCAUCAAAACAAUGCCUGGGUUGAUGGAAGUUCUGUGAAUAAUCAUGCCCAAUCAUAUCAGAGUUACAUCCCAGAUAGUAAUGUAGCCCAGAGUUCUAGUUCACUACUAGCAAGCUCUGUCCACUAUCAACAGCAGUACAACCAAUGGCCUUAUUAUUAUGAUCAAUCUGCACAGACUUCAUGGGGUCUUGCAGUUGCUGAUAGCACUACUUCCAUUACAAAUGUUGCUACUGUUGUCCCUGAUUAUGUACAUCUGAGCAACCAGCCACCUCCACCAGGCACUACAUCAUGGAGGACAGAUGCUGGUAACACUGCUGCACCUCCCGCACAGGCAGGGGACAUUCAAGGAUAUCAAAACCAGUAUUCCCCCAAGGUCCAAGUCGCCCCAGUGCUUCAAAAUCAGUAUAUUAACAACACAGCAGGUAUCCCAACGCUUCAUAACCAGUAUGCCAGCUCAGCAUUCCAGCAUAGCUCUGCAAAUAAUAAUCAGCUACCGGAUUCUGAGACAUCAAAUGGUCACAUGGUAAACAAAGUACAGAUCCCAAUAAAUCCUCAAAUAGCCCCAGGUCUUCCAAUAGGAAUGCCCAAAAUGGAUGAGUCAAAUUUAGAAGCUGAUUCAUCACUGAAACCUGCUUAUGUUUGUGUUUCAAUGCCCAAGAAUGAUGUGAAGGCUGCACAAGAAGGUUCUGAAGCAGUAAUGCAGGUGACGGGAUCUUUCCCUGUUUCACUGUGUACUUAUGUUGAACGGAAUCUUGCCCGUUGCAAGGAUGAUACCCAAAGGACUGCCAGCCGAAGAAUCUUAAAAGAGAUAAUCACAAAGGCAACUGCUGAUGGGGCCCUUCAUACGAAGAACUGGGACAUUGAACCACUACUAACUUUGCCAGAAAUUACUGCAGGCGCAACUAUGACUAGCACUGGGACGGAUUCAAGUCCUUUUUCUUUUUCAUCAUCAAGGAGUCCUAGUAGGCGUACAAAAAGUAGGUGGGAGCCUGUUGCAGAGGAAAAAGUUACUAACAAUGUGGAAGUUCCUAAAGAAUCUGCAAAGAGUAAUAUCUGCAGUAGUUUGGAACCAACCAAAAGAACGAGUAACAGUUGGGAUCUGAGGAAGUUUGUCCAAUCCCGCCAAGUUCCUUUUAAUCAAUGCAGUCAGAGUACUACUAAAAAGCAACAAACUGGUGGUGGUGCAAAUCUAAAUGAAAAUGGAAAUGCCUCAAGUGACAGUAGUAAGGAGCAGGAUAUAAUGAAAUAUUACCCCAGUUCAAUCGUACUAGCAAAUUCACCUGAGGAAAAUAAACGACGGGAGCAUAGAUCGAAGCGUUUUGAACGGAGUCAAGAUGUGCCAUCAAAAUCUGGGAGUUCUCUACCAGAUAAGGAUGCCACAACCAACAUAUAUAAAAGGAGAGCUGUGUCACUGCUUCUUAAUAGAAAUUAUGUGGAUGAUGCUGGCUUGGCAGUGGAGGAUUUGGAUUGGGAUGCUCUGACAAUCAAGGGAACAUGCCAGAACAUUGAGAAACAACACCUACGCCUUACAAGAGCACCUGACCCUGCCGAAGUACGGCCAGAAGAUAUCCUAGAGAAGGCUCUUCAUAUGGUUGAAACAUCAGAAAAGAAUUAUCUUUACAAAUGUGAUCAACUAAAGUCUAUUCGGCAAGACCUUACUGUUCAGAGGAUCCAGAACGAGUUGACUGUCAAGGUUUAUGAAAGCCAUGCACGUUUAGCUAUUCAAUCUGGAGAUUUACCUGAAUAUAAUCAGUGCCAAUCUCAGCUAAAGAGGUUAUAUGGAGGAGGACUCAAAGGCUGUAACCUUGAAUUCUCCGCUUACAACUUGCUAUGUGACAACUUUCUUGACAACUUUUGCAGUGCCAAUCUCAGCUAAAGAGGUUAUAUGGAGGAGGACUCAAAGGCUGUAACCUUGAAUUCUCCGCUUACAACUUGCUAUGUGACAACUUUCUUGACAACUUUUGCAGUGCCAAUCUCAGCUAAAGAGGUUAUAUGGAGGAGGACUCAAAGGCUGUAACCUUGAAUUCUCCGCUUACAACUUGCUAUGUGUCAUGCUGCACUCUAAUAGCAAAAGAGAUUUGCUUUCAUCGAUGGCAAGCUUGCCAAAGGAAGCCAAGAAAGACGCAACUGUCAAGCAUGCCCUUGAAGUUCGUUCUGCUGUCUCAUCUGGCAAUUAUGUUCUGUUUUUCAAAUUAUACAAGGUGGCACCCAACUUAAACUCAUGUCUUAUGGACCUCUAUGCGGAACGAAUGCGCUUUGAGGCUAUAAAAUGCAUGUCAAAAUCAUAUCGCCCAACUGUACCAAUCAGAUACGCUGCACAGAUUUUGGGAUUUGUGGGAAUCGAUGAAGUUUAUGAGACUAAUGGAGCUGAUGGACUGGAAGAAUUCAAGAAAUGGUUAAAAGCACAUGGUGCUGUUCUUUCAGUAGAUAAUAAUGGAGAAGUGCAGAUAGACACAAAGGUUUCUUCUACUUCUUUGUACAUGCCGGAACCUGAGAACGCUGUUUCUCAUGGUGAUGCAUCUCUUGCUGUUGAUGAUUUUUUGGCACGAGCAUCAUAAGAUAUCCUGGUGAGUGCCACUCCCUGCCCUCUUCUUUUGCACUGGUCUUUGGAGGUGCUGCACAAAUGCAUGUCGCCAAGACCAGUAGAGUUACCUUUUGUUAGAGAAAAUCACUGUCACAUGAAACAAAUAGGUGUCCAGGACAGAAUACAUGCUAGUAGGUGACUUCUCGUAGUCUCAAUCUCACAUUGUGCUCUGACGCUGUUUUAUGGCUGGCUAUUCGUGUUAGUCUGCAUUCAUAUGAUUGUUUAACUGAGAUCAAUGACAUGCUCAGAGUUUAGUCUGCAUCCAUAUUAUUGUUUAACUGAGAUCAAUGGCAUGCUCAGAGUUAUGUUGGGUGGGAUUGUGCCAGUCUGUCAGAUACUUUACCAUCCAGACCUCAAGUGUAUAUGUUGUUGAAAAAUGUGUUCAAAUCAGUUCAGUGUAUUAUACAUUUCUGUACACAUCCUGAUGAUUCUAACAUCUUUAAUUCUUCACAGAUUACAGAAAGUAGUUAAUAGGAACUUGAAAAGGCUGAUAUUAUUGUCCUCAAAUUUGUUCAUUUUUCUCUGUAUAUAAAAGAAAAAGAAGGUCUGGGUUUCUUGGGAACGUAUCUAGUGCAAACCACAACCUUCGUGAAAACUCAUGCAAACCAUGACAAAAAAAUUGUCUAUAAAUUCACCAAAAAAAUCACGCAUGUUGAUGAUAUGAUGAUACACAACCUUGUAAAAUAUUUUCUCCAAACUCGACUUCGUUUGUGAGAUAUAAAAAUAACAAAUUUCUAACAAAUCAUCUGGACAACUUUCUGACUUGAAAUUUGUUAUUUUUAUAUCUCACAAACGAAGUCGAGUUUGGACAAGAUAUUUUAUAAGAUUGUAUAUCAUCAUAUCGUCUACAUGUGUUUUUUUGUGAAUUUAGACGACUUUUUUGCCGUGGUUUGCACGGAUUUUCACGAAAUUGUGGUUUGUACAAGAUAUGUUCCCGGGUUUCUUAGUACUAGCUAGACUCAGUAGUGUCAUCUGUGAAGCUUUUGGAGUUAGCUUGUAGUUCACCACCAUAAAUAGCGUUAGUAGUGAAUCCUCGUCGUCGUGGCUGCUAAUUGUCAGCUUUUUAGUACUACUUUAUUUUGUCAUUUCUGAGAUUGCUGAUCGAUUUUAGUUUACAAGCUUAUUAUGGUAAUUAGUAAAUGGUCCAUC